GACGAACGCUGGCGGCGUGCUUAACACAUGCAAGUCGAGCGAUGAAACUUCUUCGGAAGUGGAUAGCGGCGGACGGGUGAGUAACACGUGGGCAACCUGCCUCAUAGUGGGGAAUAGCCUCUCGAAAGGGAAAUUAAUACCGCAUAAGAUUGUAGUUCCGCAUGGAACAGCAAUUAAAGGAUUUAUUCGCUAUGAGAUGGGCCCGCGGCGCAUUAGCUAGUUGGUGAGGUAACGGCUCACCAAGGCGACGAUGCGUAGCCGACCUGAGAGGGUGAUCGGCAACAUUGGGACUGAGACACGGCCCAGACGCCUACGGGAGGCAGCAGUGGGGAAUAUUGCACAAUGGGGGAAACCCUGAUGCAGCAACGCCGCGUGAGUGAUGACGGUCUUCGGAUUGUAAAGCUCUGUCUUUAGGGACGAUAAUGACGGUACCUAAGGAGGAAGCCACGGCUAACUACGUGCCAGCAGCCGCAGUAA
This 477-nucleotide ribosomal RNA is filed under the name uncultured bacterium. RNAcentral's name for it is "partial 16S ribosomal RNA". It matches the Rfam family "Bacterial small subunit ribosomal RNA", at positions 28 to 523 of the family's 1533-position model. The record is from RNAcentral.